GUGUCAGCCGCCGCGGUAAUACGAAGGACCCGAGCGUUAUCCGGAUUUAUUGGGUUUAAAGGGUGCGUAGGCGGACCUAUAAGUCAGUGGUGAAAGCCCAUCGCUCAACGAUGGAAUUGCCAUUGAUACUGUAGGUCUUGAGUAUAGUUGAGGUGGGCGGAAUGUGUCAUGUAGCGGUGAAAUGCUUAGAUAUGACACAGAACACCUAUUGCGAAGGCAGCUCGCUAAGCUAUAACUGACGCUGAGGCACGAAAGUGUGGGUAGCAAACAGGAUUAGAAACCCUCGUAGUCC
RNAcentral lists this ribosomal RNA (292 nucleotides) under uncultured bacterium. RNAcentral's name for it is "partial 16S ribosomal RNA". It matches the Rfam family "Bacterial small subunit ribosomal RNA", at positions 505 to 796 of the family's 1533-position model. The record is from RNAcentral.